UUUCCUUUUUUGUAGAAAAAUAAUGCCGCCUAGAUGCCUAGCAGUGUUGAUAGCAAUCAGGUUGUAGACCUUUAUCCUAUAUAUGCAUUGACAGAUGCAGGGCUCAAAGGAGAAUAUAUAUUCCUUACAACAACAAAACAAGGAAACUUGCAAAAGCUAUGCCAUGAAAAUAUGCCUCCAUAAGAACUUUAUGGCAUUGGGUUUGGAUUACAAAACUGAUAAUUCUGCCCCCAUUUUUAAAUG
This is a long non-coding RNA of Magnolia sinica, 243 nucleotides long. RefSeq lists it as uncharacterized. NCBI's taxonomy places the organism in Eukaryota, Viridiplantae, Streptophyta, Magnoliopsida, Magnoliales, Magnoliaceae. The transcript has 3 exons. The record is from RefSeq and is a predicted model, not a curated record.